Molecule: ribosomal RNA, 485 nt
Filed under: uncultured bacterium
Lineage: Bacteria
Description: partial 16S ribosomal RNA
Rfam family: Bacterial small subunit ribosomal RNA
Source: RNAcentral
UUGCACGCUGGCGGCAUGCCUUACACAUGCAAGUCGAACGGCAGCACGGGUGCUUGCACCUGGUGGCGAGUGGCGAACGGGUGAGUAAUACAUCGGAACAUGUCCUGUAGUGGGGGAUAGCCCGGCGAAAGCCGGAUUAAUACCGCAUACGAUCCACGGAUGAAAGCGGGGGACCUUCGGGCCUCGCGCUAUAGGGUUGGCCGAUGGCUGAUUAGCUAGUUGGUGGGGUAAAGGCCUACCAAGGCGACGAUCAGUAGCUGGUCUGAGAGGACGACCAGCCACACUGGGACUGAGACACGGCCCAGACUCCUACGGGAGGCAGCAGUGGGGAAUUUUGGACAAUGGGCGAAAGCCUGAUCCAGCAAUGCCGCGUGUGUGAAGAAGGCCUUCGGGUUGUAAAGCACUUUUGUCCGGAAAGAAAUCCUUGGCUCUAAUACAGUCGGGGGAUGACGGUACCGGAAGAAUAAGCACCGGCUAACUACGUG